UUUUGGGUUAAGAAGUGUGAGGCCUACUCCAGAGGAAUAUUACAACUCAUGGAUGAAGAUCUCCCAACAAGUAGUAUCAGAGUCGAUGGUUCAACGACUCAACGAAUAUUGAAGCGACAAGUGGUCGGUAGAUCCACGAGGGAUACUUGUGUCGAAAGCCUUCCUAGAAAGAGGUCAAGGCGGCGUGUUCCGUUGAUGAAAGGAUAAGCCAACAUUGAUGCAAGUAGAUAGAGAACUGAGCUCUAGUGUACCCAAUACUCGAAGGGGAACUCACACUUGAGAGGAAGAUGUUGGGUAUUCCAAGUGUGAAUGAAGUUGAGGAGUUAAAGAGUAUAUAAGUGGAUGAACUCAUAG
Molecule: long non-coding RNA, 354 nt
Filed under: Lupinus angustifolius (narrow-leaved blue lupine)
Lineage: Eukaryota; Viridiplantae; Streptophyta; Magnoliopsida; Fabales; Fabaceae
Description: long non-coding RNA (LANG_LNC001586)
Source: RNAcentral